UCGACCUGAGAGCAAGCGAGAUUACCCGCCGAAUUUAAGCAUAUUAAUAAGCGGAGGAAAAGAAAACAACUGUGAUUCCCUUAGUAAUGGCGAAUGAAACGGGAAUAGCCCAUCGCCGAACUGCAGAUCGUCUCGAUCUUGCGGAAUGUGGCGUUUGGGAGAGUCUUCUCGCGGCCUGGACGGCCAGUCAAAGUCCAACUUGACAGUGGCCAUGGCCCGUAGAGGGUGAUAGGCCCGUAAGACGGCUGUCCGACUGCGCUGACUUUUCCCUAGAGUCGGGUUGCUUGGGAGUGCAGCCCAAAGUGCGAGGUAAACUCCUCGUAAGGCUAAAUAUGACCCCGAGACCGAUAGCAAACAAGUACCGUGAGGGAAGAUUGAAAAGAACUUUGAAGAGAGAGUUCAAGAGUACGUGAAACUGUGUGGUGGUAAACGGAGGGGUUCUCGAAGUUUCUGAGGGGGACUCAACCUUGGUGGUGCUGGGCCUUUGUGUAUUUGAUCAGCAAUGACUUUGCACUUAGUCCCCAGUGCCUCCCGGACGCACUUUCUCCUCAGUUUACGGCAGGAACCGUUAGGAGCGGACCAAAGGCUCGAGGUGAAGUUGUCGGUUAUGCUGGCAGCCCUCGGUGUCCUGGCUUCGCACCUGACGGGUAUGUAAGCGGACUCGUAUAGCGAGCAAUUGUCUAUGCGGUCGCAUCUCACUGCC
This 703-nucleotide ribosomal RNA is filed under the name Haloptilus chierchiae. RNAcentral describes it as "eukaryotic LSU rRNA". It matches the Rfam family "Eukaryotic large subunit ribosomal RNA", at positions 1 to 628 of the family's 3401-position model. The record is from RNAcentral. Lineage: Eukaryota; Metazoa; Arthropoda; Copepoda; Calanoida; Augaptilidae.